UCCGAAGCCAGGUGUGAUUAAUCUUGUAUCAGUUGGUCUCCUUGAAAAAUCGUUCUGGCAGACUUAUUGCAUCUUUGCCUUUAAAUAGCGGCUUUGCACCUACAGGAAACGAAUACGCAACGUUUCGUUUAAGUUGGCUCCCCGGCCUUCCUGUCCUCUACAACAGCCUGGACGCCGAAGCGCAGAGCUCCCGUGUGGCGUGAAACUGGACAGAUGAGCGGUCAGUUCGAAGCAGCAGCCGGACUCACCUCGCGGUCCCAGGUGCCCACCGUCUCUCCGGCCGGCUUUCCCGACUGAAGCGUUUCCUCUCCCGGGGCUCCAGACGGCGAGCCGCCGGAGCUUUUGGAUAGUGACGGCCGGCGAGUUUACGCCUGAACCUUUUCUUGUUAAAUUGUUUGCAAUAAACUAGUUUCCUCGGAUUGUUUCUUACCCCAAUUUGUUGGGGAUGUUGGCGGGGUCACUUCAUGCAGUAAGAGCAAGCCUCCAUAUACCUGUAAGAUCAUCCUCAUGUUUCUUUAAUAAGCCUUCAUGUACUCCUGUAGGCUACUCAGAGUGUCGG
Long non-coding RNA from Lepisosteus oculatus (spotted gar), 559 nucleotides. RefSeq lists it as uncharacterized. The record is from RefSeq and is a predicted model, not a curated record. NCBI's taxonomy places the organism in Eukaryota, Metazoa, Chordata, Actinopteri, Semionotiformes, Lepisosteidae.